RNAcentral lists this ribosomal RNA (305 nucleotides) under uncultured bacterium. RNAcentral's name for it is "bacterial SSU rRNA". It matches the Rfam family "Bacterial small subunit ribosomal RNA", at positions 337 to 635 of the family's 1533-position model. The record is from RNAcentral.
CCCUACGGGGGGCAGCAGUAGGGAAUCUUCCACAAUGGGCGAAAGCCUGAUGGAGCAACGCCGCGUGGGUGAAGAAGGUCUUCGGAUCGUAAAACCUGUUGUUAGAGAAGAAAGUGCGUGAGAGUAACUGUUCACGUUUCGACGGUAUCUAACCAGAAAGCCACGGCUAACUACGUGCCAGCAGCCGCGGUAAUACGUAGGUGGCAAGCGUUAUCCGGAUUUAUUGGGCGUAAAGGGAACGCAGGCGGUCUUUUAAGUCUGAUGUGAAAGCCUUCGGCUUAACCGGAGUAGUGCAUUGGAAACUG